RNAcentral lists this ribosomal RNA (390 nucleotides) under Copepoda environmental sample. RNAcentral's name for it is "SSU rRNA". It matches the Rfam family "Eukaryotic small subunit ribosomal RNA", at positions 592 to 982 of the family's 1831-position model. Lineage: Eukaryota; Metazoa; Arthropoda; Copepoda. The record is from RNAcentral.
CAAUAGCGUAUAUUAAAGUUGUUGUGGUUAAAAAGCUCGUAGUUGGAUCUCGGCGGUCUGAGGGCGGUUCGCUUGAUUGAGUGCUACUGCUCUAUAGGCCGUGGUUUUGCCAGAGGUCUCGGGGUGCUCUUAACCGAGUGUCCUGCGAUGCUGGCAGGUUUACUUUGAAAAAAUUAGAGUGCUCAAAGCAGGCUUUUACGCCUGAAUAUUCGUGCAUGGAAUAAUAGAAUAGGAAGUCGUUUCUAUUUUGUUGGUUUUCGGAAAUCGACUUAAUGAUUAAUAGGGACAGUCGGGGGCAUUUGUAUUCAAACGACAGAGGUGAAAUUCUUGGACCGUUUGAAGACAAACUACUGCGAAAGCAUUUGCCAAGAAUGUUUUCAUUAAUCAAGA